UUAAUUGAAAUGAAAAAUAGCCGCCCAUUCGCACGGUGGGCAGUUGUGCGGCGGACAGACUCGACAGUGGGCGUGGCAGUCACUGGGCGACUGCGGAGGCUGAGGACAUAAAACUGAAGUCAGACCCAGAAAGUGGAGGCCAGCUGUAAGGAAGUCAGUCGGUCGGUCGGCUGGCAAAUGCGAAUGCAAAUUGACCAAGUUGCAGCUGGAAAAGCCACAAGGAGCUGGAUACCUGGACAUCGGGAGAGACCUGCAGAGCCGCAAAAGCUGACCAAAAGUGCAUUUCACGCUGGCUAAUGAAACAAAUUAUAAGUGGCCACUGUCGUCGGAGUUUUGCGGAAACCAAACCAUACCAGGGGCAGUGUUUUCGGGCUUGAGGAUCGGAUCGGAAUCGGGAUCUGGAAAUGCGAUACUUUCUUUAGAGCGCCUGUUUUGAAUUUCUGCUUAUUACCGAAUAUUUUUCUGUCGCAAAACAAUGGUUUGUUCGCAGGUUGGUAACUUAACUCUCUCUUUCUCUGGCAUUUAGUUCCCUCCCGGCUGAUUACGAAGACUAUGGCCAUAAUUAUGAUGAUGAUGAUGAUGAUGAAUGCUUGGCGCGUGACGCAUGCGCUGAAAACAAAGAACCUGGGAUAUCAGGAGAAGAAUUUCAGUUCUUGGGCAUCAUCAUGGCAUCGAAACCUCAAGUGAUUCAGUCUAUGGCGUUGAGUCAACUGACUGAAUAAUUUCCCAUUCACCCAUGGGCAAUAAAUAACUUCGGAAAUUCAAUGUUGAUAGUGAA
This is a long non-coding RNA of Drosophila simulans, 778 nucleotides long. RefSeq lists it as uncharacterized. The record is from RefSeq and is a predicted model, not a curated record. The transcript has 3 exons. Lineage: Eukaryota; Metazoa; Arthropoda; Insecta; Diptera; Drosophilidae.